RNAcentral lists this ribosomal RNA (470 nucleotides) under uncultured organism. RNAcentral describes it as "partial 16S ribosomal RNA". It matches the Rfam family "Bacterial small subunit ribosomal RNA", at positions 335 to 797 of the family's 1533-position model. The record is from RNAcentral.
ACUCCUACGGGAGGCAGCAGUGGGGAAUUUUGGACAAUGGGCGAAAGCCUGAUCCAGCAAUGCCGCGUGUGUGAAGAAGGCCUUCGGGUUGUAAAGCACUUUUGUCCGGAAAGAAAUCCUUGGCUCUAAUACAGUCGGGGGAUGACGGUACCGGAAGAAUAAGCACCGGCUAACUACGUGCCAGCAGCCGCGGUAAUACGUAGGGUGCGAGCGUUAAUCGGAAUUACUGGGCGUAAAGCGUGCGCAGGCGGUUUGCUAAGACCGAUGUGAAAUCCCCGGGCUCAACCUGGGAACUGCAUUGGUGACUGGCAGGCUAGAGUAUGGCAGAGGGGGGUAGAAUUCCACGUGUAGCAGUGAAAUGCGUAGAGAUGUGGAGGAAUACCGAUGGCGGAGGCAGCCCCCUGGGCCAAUACUGACGCUCAUGCACGAAAGCGUGGGGAGCAAACAGGAUUAGAUACCCCGGUAGUCCC